AUCGUUAUCGUUUAUUUGAUAGUACCUUACUACAUGGAUACCUGUGGUAAUUCUAGAGCUAAUACAUGCUAAAAACCCCGACUUCAGGAAGGGGUGUAUUUAUUAGAUAAAAAACCAACGCCCUUCGGGGCUCCUUGGUGAAUCAUAAUAACUUAACGAAUCGCAUGGCCUUGCGCCGGCGAUGGUUCAUUCAAAUUUCUGCCCUAUCAACUUUCGAUGGUAGGAUAGUGGCCUACCAUGGUGGCAACGGGUAACGGGGAAUUAGGGUUCGAUUCCGGAGAGGGAGCCUGAGAAACGGCUACCACAUCCAAGGAAGGCAGCAGGCGCGCAAAUUACCCAAUCCCGAUACGGGGAGGUAGUGACAAUAAAUACUGAUACGGGGCUCUUUUGGGUCUCGUAAUUGGAAUGAGAACAAUUUAAAUCCCUUAACGAGGAACAAUUGGAGGGCAAGUCUGGUGCCAGCAGCCGCGGUAAUUCCAGCUCCAAUAGCGUAUAUUAAAGUUGUUGCAGUUAAAAAGCUCGUAGUUGAACCUUGGGUCUGGCUGGCCGGUCCGCCUCACCGCGAGUACUGGUCCGGCUGGACCUUUCCUUCUGGGGAACCUCAUGGCCUUCACUGGCUGUGGGGGGAACCAGGACUUUUACUGUGAAAAAAUUAGAGUGUUCAAAGCAGGCCUUUGCUCGAAUACAUUAGCAUGGAAUAAUAGAAUAGGACGUGUGGUUCUAUUUUGUUGGUUUCUAGGACCGCCGUAAUGAUUAAUAGGGAUAGUCGGGGGCGUCAGUAUUCAGCUGUCAGAGGUGAAAUUCUUGGAUUUGCUGAAGACUAACUACUGCGAAAGCAUUCGCCAAGGAUGUUUUCAUUAAUCAGGGAACGA
This 872-nucleotide ribosomal RNA is filed under the name uncultured fungus. RNAcentral describes it as "SSU rRNA". It matches the Rfam family "Eukaryotic small subunit ribosomal RNA", at positions 105 to 986 of the family's 1831-position model. The record is from RNAcentral. Lineage: Eukaryota; Fungi.